CAAAUACUCCCUCCGUCCGGAAAUAUUUGUCCUACAAAUGGAUGUAUCUAGGCUUAUUUUAGUUAUAAAUACAUUUGUUUUAUUCAUUUUUAGGACAAGUAUUUCCGGACGGAGGGAGUGGUUC
Molecule: non-coding RNA, 124 nt
Organism: Hordeum vulgare subsp. vulgare (domesticated barley)
Lineage: Eukaryota; Viridiplantae; Streptophyta; Magnoliopsida; Poales; Poaceae
Source: Rfam